UGAGCAAUCUGCCCUUCUCUUUGGAAUAAGCGUUGGAAACGACGUCUAAUGCCGAAUACGACCUCCUUUCGCAUGAUCGGAGGUGGAAAGCUCCGGCGGAGAAGGAUGAGCUCGCGGCCUAUCAGCUAGUUGGUGUGGGUAAUGGCCCACAAGGCGACGACGGGUAGCCGGCCUGAGGAGGGUCGACCGGCCACACGUGGGACUGACGACACGGCCAGACCUCCGUACGGGA
Molecule: ribosomal RNA, 232 nt
Filed under: uncultured bacterium
Lineage: Bacteria
Description: partial 16S ribosomal RNA
Rfam family: Bacterial small subunit ribosomal RNA
Source: RNAcentral